UACGAAGGGGGCUAGCGUUGUUCGGAAUCACUGGGCGUAAAGCGCACGUAGGCGGAUGUGCCAGUCAGGGGUGAAAUCCCGGAGCUCAACUCCGGAACUGCCUCUGAUACAGCACGUCUUGAGUUCGAGAGAGGUGGGUGGAAUUCCUAGUGUAGAGGUGAAAUUCGUAGAUAUUAGGAAGAACACCGGUGGCGAAGGCGGCCCACUGGCUCGAUACUGACGCUGAGGUGCGAAAGCGUGGGGAGCAAAC
This 250-nucleotide ribosomal RNA is filed under the name uncultured bacterium. Its description in RNAcentral is "partial 16S ribosomal RNA". It matches the Rfam family "Bacterial small subunit ribosomal RNA", at positions 524 to 773 of the family's 1533-position model. The record is from RNAcentral.